This is a long non-coding RNA of Sapajus apella (tufted capuchin), 186 nucleotides long. RefSeq lists it as uncharacterized. The transcript has 3 exons. The record is from RefSeq and is a predicted model, not a curated record. NCBI's taxonomy places the organism in Eukaryota, Metazoa, Chordata, Mammalia, Primates, Cebidae.
UCCUUUAUCCAGUCCACUUUUCAUGGGCAUCUAGGUUAAUUUACUGUCUUUGCUACUGUGAAUAAAUAGUACUACAAUGAACAUACAUGUGCAUGUGUCUUUAUAAUAGAAUGAUUUAUAAUCCUUCGGGUAUAUAUUCAGUAAUGGAAUUGCUGGGUCAAAUGGUAUUUCUCUUUCUAGAUCCUU